This is a regulatory RNA element of Gordonia malaquae NBRC 108250, 112 nucleotides long. It matches the Rfam family "TPP riboswitch aptamer (THI element)". From Rfam's summary of the family: Vitamin B(1) in its active form thiamin pyrophosphate (TPP) is an essential coenzyme that is synthesised by coupling of pyrimidine and thiazole moieties in bacteria. The previously detected thiamin-regulatory element, thi box was extended, resulting in a new, highly conserved RNA secondary structure, the THI element, which is widely distributed in eubacteria and also occurs in some archaea. Lineage: Bacteria; Bacillati; Actinomycetota; Actinomycetes; Mycobacteriales; Gordoniaceae. The record is from Rfam.
AAUUACACACGCGGGGGCUCUCACGAUCCGAGGGCUGAGAUGGCGACUGGCGGUCGUCGACCGCUCGAACCUGUCCGGGUAAUGCCGGCGUAGGGAGGAGAAGUCAUGGGCA